UUUUCUUGUCUCCACUGGGUUGACUCACAAAUGUCUUUUUAUAACAGGUUAUUGUGAUUGCAUUUUCUGCUUACAAAACCUCCUUCUGUAAAAUAUGGUGAAUUUGCAUUCCCAGUUUGUUAUGUGCCUGCUGCUGUUCCUGGUGGGCCUGCAAUGUUCACAGGGAGAAGAGAAGAGAAGAGGAGCUUUUUGCAGUGCUCUGUGUGAUGGGCAGAGAAGAGAAGGUUUAACUCAGCAAUCAAAUCAGGCUCUGGGGUGCCCAGGAUCCAGCCCAUGCUCUCAGGGCAUGAAUAAAAGAGCAGUGUAAGGAGCUGCUCUUCUUUGUUGCCGGGAUUGCUGCUCCCAUAUGAAGUUCUCUCUCGAUGGG
Long non-coding RNA from Oenanthe melanoleuca, 367 nucleotides. RefSeq lists it as uncharacterized. The record is from RefSeq and is a predicted model, not a curated record. NCBI's taxonomy places the organism in Eukaryota, Metazoa, Chordata, Aves, Passeriformes, Muscicapidae. The transcript has 3 exons.